Molecule: ribosomal RNA, 156 nt
Filed under: Taphrina antarctica
Lineage: Eukaryota; Fungi; Ascomycota; Taphrinomycetes; Taphrinales; Taphrinaceae
Description: 5.8S ribosomal RNA
Rfam family: 5.8S ribosomal RNA
About the family: 5.8S ribosomal RNA (5.8S rRNA) is a component of the large subunit of the eukaryotic ribosome. It is transcribed by RNA polymerase I as part of the 45S precursor that also contains 18S and 28S rRNA.
Source: RNAcentral
AACUUUCAACAAUGGAUCUCUUGGCUCUGGCAUCGAUGAAGAACGCAGCGAAAUGCGAUAAGUAAUAUGAAUUGCAGAAUUCAGUGAAUCAUCGAAUCUUUGAACGCACAUUGCGCCCUCUGGUAUUCCGGAGGGCAUGCCUGUUUGAGUGUCAUU